UGGAGAGGCUACCGGGCCCUGAGCUGGCAUUGGACUCCCAGGGCCCUGGCUUCUUCUCU
Bos indicus x Bos taurus (hybrid cattle) is the source of this 59-nucleotide microRNA precursor. Lineage: Eukaryota; Metazoa; Chordata; Mammalia; Artiodactyla; Bovidae. The record is from Ensembl.